CUACGGGAUGCACCAGUGAGGAAUAUUGCACAAUGGGGGGAACCCUGAUGCAGCAACGCCGCGUGGAGGAUGACGCAUUUCGGUGUGUAAACUCCUUUUAUAUGUCAAGAAAAUGACGGUAGCAUAUGAAUAAGCACCGGCUAACUCCGUGCCAGCAGCCGCGGUAAUACGGAGGGUGCAAGCGUUACUCGGAAUCACUGGGCGUAAAGGACGCGUAGGCGGGUUGGAAAGUCAGGUGUGAAAUCCUACAGCUUAACUGUAGAACUGCACUUGAAACUUCUAAUCGAGAGUAUGGGAGGGGGGGAUGGAAUUAGUGGUGUAGGGGUAAAAUCCGUAGAUAUCACUAGGAAUACCUAAAGCGAAGGCGAUCUCCUGGAACAUUACUGACGCUAAGGCGUGAAAGCGUGGGGAGCAAACAGGAUUAGAUACCCGAGUAGUC
This 439-nucleotide ribosomal RNA is filed under the name uncultured bacterium. RNAcentral describes it as "partial 16S ribosomal RNA". It matches the Rfam family "Bacterial small subunit ribosomal RNA", at positions 339 to 795 of the family's 1533-position model. The record is from RNAcentral.